This 1435-nucleotide ribosomal RNA is filed under the name metagenome. Its description in RNAcentral is "bacterial SSU rRNA". It matches the Rfam family "Archaeal small subunit ribosomal RNA". The record is from RNAcentral.
UUGAUCCUGCGGGAGAAUGCUGCUAUCUGGGUUCAGAUUAACCAUGCAAGUCAAGGGGCUUACUUCGGUGAGCACCGGCGAAAUGCUCAGUAAUACAUUGAUAAUUUAACUUAAGGUCGGGGAUAACCUCGGGAAACUGAAGCUAAAACCUGAUAGGGGAUUUCUACUGGGAUGUGUUUUCCUUGAAAAGUAAUGCCUUAAGAUGAGUCAAUGCCUGAUUAGGUUGAUGGCGGGGUAAUGGCCCACCAUGCCGACGAUCAGUAGGGGCCUUGAGAGAGGUCGCCCCGAGAAGGACACUGAGAAACUGGUCCUAGCCCUACGGGGUGCAGCAGGUAUGAAUUCUUUACAAUGCACGAAAGUGUGAUAAGGGGACCCAGAGUGCUAAUGUUUUGCAUUGGCUUUCGUUAAGUGUAAAUAGCUUGACGAAUAAGUGGAGCGCAAGACUGGUGCCAGCAGGCGCGGUAACACCAGCGCCACAAGUGGGGUUCGUAUUUAUUGGGCCUAAAGCGUCCGUAGCCGGUUUAAUAAGUCUCUUGUGAAACUGUUUGGCUCAACCUAACAAAAUGCAAAAGGUACUGUUAAACUUGAGACCGGGAGGAGUAAGAAGUAUUUCCAGGGAAGCGGUAAAAUGCGAUAAUCCUGGAAAGACUACCUGUGGUGAAGACGUCUUACUAGAACGGUUCUGACGGUCAGGGACGAAAGCCAGGGGAGCGAUCCGGAUUAGAUACCCGAGUAGUCCUGGCUGUAAACGCUGCGAGCUAGGCGUUGCAUUUCCUACGGGGAGAUGCAGUGUCGUAGCGAAGGUGAUAAGCUCGCCGCCUGGGAAGUACGGUCGCAAGGCUGAAACUUAAAGGAAUUGGCGGGGGAACGCCACCAGGGGUGGGGCGUGCGGUUUAAUCCGAUUCUGCGCGGAAAAUCUCACCAGAGGCGACGGCAGGAUGAUUGUCGAGUUGAAGACUCUACAGGACGAGCCGAGAGGUAGUGCAUGGCCGCCGUCAGCUCGUGCCGUAAGGUGUUCUUUUAAGUAAGCUAACGAGCGAGACCUGUACCCAUAAUUGCUAGCGAGUCCUUCAGGACGAUCGUGCACAUUAUGGGGACUGCCUUCGAAAGGAGGAGGAAGGUGCAGGCAACGGUAGGUCUGUAUGCUCCGAAUCUUCUGGGCUACACGCGCGCCACAAUGGUAGGGACAAUGGGACACGACCCUGAGAAGGGAAGUUAAACCUCGAAACCCUAUCAAAGUUCGGAUCGAAUUCUGUAACUCGGAUUCGUGAAGCCGGAAUCCCUAGUAAUCAUAAGUCAACAUCUUAUGGUGAAUAUGUCCACGUUCCUUGCACACACCGCCCGUCAAACCAACCGAGCAGGGUUUAAAUGAGGAUUAGUUUCUUGAUUAAUUCGAAUUUAAAUUCAGUAAGGUGGGUUAAGUCGUCACAAGGUA